RNAcentral lists this ribosomal RNA (349 nucleotides) under uncultured Streptococcus sp. RNAcentral describes it as "bacterial SSU rRNA". It matches the Rfam family "Bacterial small subunit ribosomal RNA", at positions 1029 to 1382 of the family's 1533-position model. Lineage: Bacteria; Bacillati; Bacillota; Bacilli; Lactobacillales; Streptococcaceae. The record is from RNAcentral.
CGGUGACAGGUGGUGCAUGGUUGUCGUCAGCUCGUGUCGUGAGAUGUUGGGUUAAGUCCCGCAACGAGCGCAACCCCUAUCGUUAGUUGCCAUCAUUCAGUUGGGCACUCUAAGGCGAGACUCGCGUAAUACCGGAGGAAGUGGGAUGACGUCAAAUCAUCAUGCCCCUUAUGGCCUGGGCUACACACGUGCUACAAUGGUUGGUACAACGAGUUGCGAGUCGGUGACGGCGAGCUAAUCUCUUAAAGCCAAUCUCAGUUCGGAUUGUAGGCUGCAACUCGCCUACAUGAAGUCGGAAUCGCUAGUAAUCGCGGAUCAGCACGCCGCGGUGAAUACGUUCCCGGGCCUU